UGCACUCAAUUGGAAAGAGGAGUGGCGGACGGGUGAGUAACACGUGGGUAACCUACCCAUCAGAGGGGGAUAACACUUGGAAACAGGUGCUAAUACCGCAUAACAGUUUAUGCCGCAUGGCAUAAGAGUGAAAGGCGCUUUCGGGUGUCGCUGAUGGAUGGACCCGCGGUGCAUUAGCUAGUUGGUGAGGUAACGGCUCACCAAGGCCACGAUGCAUAGCCGACCUGAGAGGGUGAUCGGCCACACUGGGACUGAGACACGGCCCAGACUCCUACGGGAGGCAGCAGUAGGGAAUCUUCGGCAAUGGACGAAAGUCUGACCGAGCAACGCCGCGUGAGUGAAGAAGGUUUUCGGAUCGUAAAACUCUGUUGUUAGAGAAGAACAAGGACGUUAGUAACUGAACGUCCCCUGACGGUAUCUAACCAGAAAGCCACGGCUAACUACGUGCCAGCAGCCGCGGUAAUACGUAGGUGGCAAGCGUUGUCCGGAUUUAUUGGGCGUAAAGCGAGCGCAGGCGGUUUCUUAAGUCUGAUGUGAAAGCCCCCGGCUCAACCGGGGAGGGUCAUUGGAAACUGGGA
This 578-nucleotide ribosomal RNA is filed under the name Enterococcus faecalis. RNAcentral's name for it is "bacterial SSU rRNA". It matches the Rfam family "Bacterial small subunit ribosomal RNA", at positions 74 to 638 of the family's 1533-position model. The record is from RNAcentral. Lineage: Bacteria; Bacillati; Bacillota; Bacilli; Lactobacillales; Enterococcaceae.